AGUGAACGCUGGCGGUAGGCCUAACACAUGCAAGUCGAACGGCAGCACAGUAAGAGCUUGCUCUUACGGGUGGCGAGUGGCGGACGGGUGAGGAAUACAUCGGAAUCUACUUUUUCGUGGGGGAUGACGUGGGGAAACUUACGCUAAUACCGCAUACGACCUACGGGUGAAAGCAGGGGAUCUUCGGACCUUGCGCGAUUGAAUGAGCCGAUGUCGGAUUAGCUAGUUGGCGGGGUAAAGGCCCACCAAGGCGACGAUCCGUAGCUGGUCUGAGAGGAUGAUCAGCCACACUGGAACUGAGACACGGUCCAGACUCCUACGGGAGGCAGCAGUGGGGAAUAUUGGACAAUGGGCGCAAGCCUGAUCCAGCCAUACCGCGUGGGUGAAGAAGGCCUUCGGGUUGUAAAGCCCUUUUGUUGGGAAAGAAAAGCAGCAGGUUAAUACCCCGCUGUUCUGACGGUACCCAAAGAAUAAGCACCGGCUAACUUCGUG
This 492-nucleotide ribosomal RNA is filed under the name uncultured bacterium. Its description in RNAcentral is "partial 16S ribosomal RNA". It matches the Rfam family "Bacterial small subunit ribosomal RNA", at positions 29 to 507 of the family's 1533-position model. The record is from RNAcentral.